AAACAACCGAAAAUGAAGCUACAAGUUGUUUUCAACUUCAAACGAGUCUGGAAUGAAGCUACAAGUUGUUUCCAACUACAAUCUAGCCAAUAAUGAAGCAACAAGUUGUUUACAAGCUUAAACGAGUCAAGAAUGAAACUAAAAGUUGAUUCUAAUUUUAAACAACCGAAAAUGAAGCUACAAGUUGUUUUCAACUUCAA
This 200-nucleotide long non-coding RNA is filed under the name Daucus carota (carrot). RNAcentral describes it as "long non-coding RNA (DCAR_LNC007117)". Lineage: Eukaryota; Viridiplantae; Streptophyta; Magnoliopsida; Apiales; Apiaceae. The record is from RNAcentral.